This 1028-nucleotide ribosomal RNA is filed under the name Staphylococcus epidermidis. RNAcentral describes it as "bacterial LSU rRNA". It matches the Rfam family "Bacterial large subunit ribosomal RNA", at positions 132 to 1156 of the family's 2925-position model. Lineage: Bacteria; Bacillati; Bacillota; Bacilli; Caryophanales; Staphylococcaceae. The record is from RNAcentral.
CAUGAGUUAUGUCAUGUUAUCGACAUGUGAAUUCAUAGCAUGUCAGAAGGCAGACCCGGAGAACUGAAACAUCUUAGUACCCGGAGGAAGAGAAAGAAAAAUCGAUUCCCUGAGUAGCGGCGAGCGAAACGGGAAGAGCCCAAACCAACAAGCUUGCUUGUUGGGGUUGUAGGACACUCUAUACGGAGUUACAAAAGAACAUGUUAGACGAAUCAUCUGGAAAGAUGAAUCAAAGAAGGUAAUAAUCCUGUAGUCGAAAACAUAUUCUCUCUUGAGUGGAUCCUGAGUACGACGGAGCACGUGAAAUUCCGUCGGAAUCUGGGAGGACCAUCUCCUAAGGCUAAAUACUCUCUAGUGACCGAUAGUGAACCAGUACCGUGAGGGAAAGGUGAAAAGUACCCCGGAAGGGGAGUGAAAGAGAACUUGAAACCGUGUGCUUACAAGUAGUCAGAGCCCGUUAAUGGGUGAUGGCGUGCCUUUUGUAGAAUGAACCGGCGAGUUACGAUCUGAUGCAAGGUUAAGCAGCAAAUGUGGAGCCGCAGCGAAAGCGAGUCUGAAUAGGGCGUUGAGUAUUUGGUCGUAGACCCGAAACCAGGUGAUCUACCCUUGGUCAGGUUGAAGUUCAGGUAACACUGAAUGGAGGACCGAACCGACUUACGUUGAAAAGUGAGCGGAUGAACUGAGGGUAGCGGAGAAAUUCCAAUCGAACUUGGAGAUAGCUGGUUCUCUCCGAAAUAGCUUUAGGGCUAGCCUCAAGUGAUGAUUAUUGGAGGUAGAGCACUGUUUGGACGAGGGGCCCCUCUCGGGUUACCGAAUUCAGACAAACUCCGAAUGCCAAUUAAUUUAACUUGGGAGUCAGAACAUGGGUGAUAAGGUCCGUGUUCGAAAGGGAAACAGCCCAGACCACCAGCUAAGGUCCCAAAAUAUAUGUUAAGUGGAAAAGGAUGUGGCGUUGCCCAGACAACUAGGAUGUUGGCUUAGAAGCAGCCAUCAUUUAAAGAGUGCGUAAUAGCUCACUAGUCGAGUGA